Long non-coding RNA from Equus caballus (horse), 3701 nucleotides. The record is from Ensembl. Lineage: Eukaryota; Metazoa; Chordata; Mammalia; Perissodactyla; Equidae.
UUUUCUGACAAAGUCUUUACUUAUUUAUAUUCACUUUUGAAGGAUAAUUUCACUGAAUACAGAAUUCUGUGUUGGGUUUGUUUUUCCUUUCAACCUGUUAAAGAUUUCUCUCCACUCUGUUCUUGCUUGCAUGGUUUCUGAGAAGCCUCAUGUAAUUCUUAUAUUUGUUCCUCUGUAAAGAAGGUAUUUUUCCCCUCUCUAGCUUCAUUCAUGACUUUCUCUUUUUAUUUGGUUUCCUGCAGUUUGAAUAAAUUUCAUAUUCCCACUCUCUGACCCCAAAAGCACUCCCUCCAGGAUCCCCUUAUCCUUCCCUCUGGCCUUAUGGGGACCUCCAGCCUGGCCUUCUUCUCUACUUCUCUGCCAAUCACUCCACUCUUCAAGUCUUUCCUUGCUCAACUUAGAUUCCUCUAGAAGCCACUUGAGCAACUCUCGCUAGUGUCUGCUCCUCUCUUGCUUGCCAAGCCAAACUCCAACCUGGUCAACCCAACUCUCUGCCCAAAGCCUGCUGCUGAGCCCGGCUGGAGGGCAGCCCACCACCAAGGAGGCCCCCACCACGCCUCUUGGGGUCCCUAGAACCUCAUGGGCUCCCACCACAGAAAUUCUUCCAUGUCCCCUGGUCAGUGUUCUUCCUGGUUCCCACGGCAACAGCUACCCUUUAGACUUGCUCACCUUUCUCCACUCUCCUUAAACCUCUGGUCCCAUUACUUCCUCUCCCCCCAGCUAUUCACUUCACAUCUACUUCCCAUACACACUCAUACUAACCCCCAAAUACCUGAAAAAUUCUUUUUACUCUGAAAUGUUUCAAACAUCCAGAAAAGUACAGAUACUGGAAGAGCAAACACCCACGUGUCCUGUACCUAAUGGUGUCAAAUUACCUUCUGACCCCAAACCUGCAAACAUACCUGCCCACCCCAUAGAAGUUAAGGGUCAGACUGCCUGGGAUUAAAUCUUGAAUCCACCACUUACUUAUCCUCUCUGUGCUUCAGUUUCCCCUGCUGUCAAAAGCUGGAAAUGAGAUGCCCACCCCAUAGGGUGGGGGCCGGGGAGUGAAGGAACAUAUGUGCAGAAUGUUUCCCACCGUGCAGGGCACAUAGUGAGUGCUCAGUGAAAGCCAGCUCUUAUCGGUUCAUCCUCCCUCUUGACUCAGCGGAUGAGAGAAUCUGCUGUAAGUUUAACCCCUUGGGCAGAGUUCCAGAUUCUUCCCCUCCCACCUACUCAGGAAUGGCACUCCUGAUUAACACCUCUCUACUGGCUGCUAGAAUUGACAUCAAACAGCCUUGCUCUCUUUUAAAACACACACACACCCCUCUCAAUAUGCCAGAUACCCUCCAGCUACCGCCCUCUCUGCUCCCUACUGCCUUUCAUAGCCAAACUUCAGGACAGAAUUGCCUGCACUUGUCCUUCCAUUUCCUCCCCUCCCACUCACCCCUCAGUGGCUGUAAACAGCCUUUCAGCUUCCCCUCCACCAAACCUGCUCUUCCUGAUAGCACUGAGACGUCAUCCAGGGGGCAUAUCUCAGUUCUCAUCCUUUGCGGACCACACGUCCACAGCAGGAUUUGACCUCGUUGACCGCUCCCUCCUCCUUGAAAUGCUCUCCCAGCCCCCCUCACCUCAGGGCCACCUCCCUCUGCAUUGCCUCACACCUCUCUGACCCCGGUCUCACAGGUGUUGCCCUGGGGCCCUCCUUGGCCCUCUCUUCUCUCCCUCUCUUCUUGAACCAUCUUACCCACGCCUGUGGCUUCACUUAACACAAGAUGCCAAUAUCCCCAAUUUACGUCUCCAAUUCCAGCUUCUUUAUUGACUUUUCAGAUCCAUGUAGCAAUUGCCUGCUGGACAGCUCCUCCUAGAUGUCUCAAAGACACUCAAAUUUGACAUGAUCAAAAUGGAGCCAAUGGCACAACCACUUUGGAGAACUAUUCGGUGGCAUCUUCUAAAGCUGAACAUAUGCACACCCCGUAUACUUCCACGUAUUUAAAAGUCAACAAUAUCCAAAACUGCACAGUGGUGCGAGGAGUUAAGACAGUGCUCACCCUUGGGGAGUAGUAACUGGAAGGGAGGAUGAGGGGGCUUCUCAGUGCUGGUGAUGUUGUUUCUCAACCUGCUUCUCACCUGGGUGCUAGUUACACAGCUGUGUUUGGCUUGUGCAAAUUCAUUGAUUAUGAUUUACGCACUUUUCUGCCCAUAUGUUAUACUCCAAUGAAAAAUUAAAACAAAACAAAACAGGACGCAUCCUCUUCCCCAUCAAGUGCCCCCUCUCCCUGGUGUUCUUUCUCUCUCAGAGAAUAGUCUCAACUUCCCACUCAGUUGCCCAAGUCAGAAGCUUGGGGGUAUUUCCCCACUGGGCUCCUUUCCUUAUCACUCACAUCCAAUCUAUUCCCAAAUGCUAUCACUCCGACCUCCUUACUAUCUCUCAAGUCCACUCACUUCUCUCCACCCUCGCUGACUCUUCUCAACCCAGACCCAAUUCCUCUCUUGCUUGGACUUCUUCAGUAGCCUCCCAGCCUCCAAUCUUGUCCGCUCUGAUUCAUCCCCACACAGCAGCCAGAGGGACCCUUCUAGAAUGAAAAUCCACUCACGUCUCUCCCCUGAUUAAAAUCUUUCAGGGGUUCCCUAUAGCCUCUAGAUAAAGUUCAUUCUCCUGCUUUGGGGUUCCAGGGGCUCUGUGUUCUGGGUCCCACCCAGACUCCACUCCUUCUUUACCCUUAGCCACCCCUCCCCCAGUGCUUUGCCCCAGGCAGUCCUAUGAGCCACAGCUGGGAACCCCCUCCUUCCCCUCAUCCCUGCCUUUCCUGGCCAAGACCCACACAUCCUUCAGGCCUCAGCUCAGAUAUCCUCCUGCUUCUGUGAUGGGUCCAGGCCUCCUUGGGCUGUCACAGCAGCAUGUGCUGCCCCAUCCUAAUACACAUCACACCAUAGUGAAACAGGCUGCUUAGAUGUCCACUUCCCCACUGGACCUCGGGCUCCAUGGUGGAAGGCAUGCUGCCUGUCUUGUUCAUCACUCCAUCCCAAGCACCUAGUAUAGGAGAGGCUCAGGAAAGAUUUUUUGGAUGGAUGAAGGACUGCAGAAGCUGUCCAGGCUGCAAAGUGCUGGACGCCCGGGAUUUGUCUCCAAGAGAGCUGGCGAGAAGGUAGAGGGGAGUUCCCCUCAAGGGACCAGAGUCCUAGAAUUUAGAAUCCCAGAACAUCAGAGCUUGAAGGGACAUCAGAGGCCAGCUAAUAAUCCACUUUCUGAUUUACAAAUGAGAAACCUAAGGGAAGGAGCCACUGGCUGGACAAGGAUGGGUGGGAGGAGGAAGAGAUGGUAGCUGCAGAGCAAGGUGCAGUGGGUGGCACUGGUCCCAUUGCAUCCUCCAGCAACCUCACCACCCUGAGCCAGCAGUGGCUCCAGUCCUGCUGGCCUGACGGGCCCCUCUGAGGCGACUCAUGGCCCCAUCUGGAAAGCUGCUCCUGCUCCCACCCUGGAGUGGGACACCUCGAUGCUGGCGCCUGCUCCAUGCCUCUCCUUUUCCUAAUCCUGCAAGCGUGCUCAGCCAAGAUGAUCCAGCCCUUCUCCAGUAUUACAGAGUCUCAUUUAUUCAUUCAACAAACAUCUAGUAAGCACUGAGGUUGUGUGUGUCAGGAUUGGCACUAGGUAUCUGGAAGGUGGUUGAGAAGUGGACAGAUACAGCUCCCGGUGUCUUGGAGGAUGCAGUGCAAUGGGG